Molecule: transfer RNA, 71 nt
Filed under: Marmota monax (woodchuck)
Lineage: Eukaryota; Metazoa; Chordata; Mammalia; Rodentia; Sciuridae
Description: tRNA.Ala
Rfam family: tRNA
About the family: Transfer RNA (tRNA) molecules are approximately 80 nucleotides in length. Their secondary structure includes four short double-helical elements and three loops (D, anti-codon, and T loops).
Source: RNAcentral
GGGGUUGGGGCUCAGUGGUAGAGCGCUCGCCCGGCAUGCGUGAGGCACUGGGUUUGAUCCUCAGCACCACA